GAUGAACGCUGGCGGCGUGCCUAAUACAUGCAAGUCGAGCGAACAGACGAGGAGCUUGCUCCUCUGACGUUAGCGGCGGACGGGUGAGUAACACGUGGAUAACCUACCUAUAAGACUGGGAUAACUUCGGGAAACCGGAGCGAAUACCGGAUAACAUGUUGAACCGCAUGGUUCAACAGUGAAAGACGGUCUUGCUGUCACUUAUAGAUGGAUCCGCGCCGCAUUAGCUAGUUGGUAAGGUAACGGCUUACCAAGGCAACGAUGCGUAGCCGACCUGUGAGGGUGAUCGGCCACCCUGGAUCUGAGACACGGUCCAGACUCCUACGGGAGGCAGCAGUAGGGACUCUUCCGCAAUGGGCGAGAGCCUGACGAAGCGACGCCGCGUAAGUGAAGAAGGUCUUCGGAUCGUAACACUCUGUUGUACGGGAAGAACAAAUGUGUAAGUACCGAUACACGUCUUGACGGUACCCAAUCAGCAUGCCACGGCUAGCAGCGU
Molecule: ribosomal RNA, 496 nt
Filed under: uncultured bacterium
Lineage: Bacteria
Description: partial 16S ribosomal RNA
Rfam family: Bacterial small subunit ribosomal RNA
Source: RNAcentral